CUCCCUGCCAGCCAAGGAGGGAGGGAAAGAAGCAAGGCCUUGCCUGGGCCUUCAUGGAUUUCUUCACCGUGUCAGAUGCGAAUGGAGAAUAAUACCGUUACAAUGGAUUUUUUUUAAAAAAAAACACCACAAAGUUUCAGGAAAGGGAAUCCAACUCAACACGUAGAAGAUGGGUUGCUUUGAUUCUUCCAGGCUGUGUCCAUGUUCCAGAAGCAUUCCCUCCUGACGUUUCACCCACAUCUAUGGCAGGCAUCUUCAGAGGUUGUGAGUGAGGACAUUGGUUUCCAUCUGGCAACGCUGAUGAUAUCCAAGACUGUUACCAUCAUGUUAACAUGGAGGAGCCGCAGCAUGUUAACAAAUUUGCCAGGGCAGCUGAUUUUUUGGAAAAUGGUCCAGAGAGCACCACGAUUCACUGUGUCAAAAGCUUUUGCGAGGUCAAUGAAUGUCAUGUACAGAGGUUGGUUUUGUUCCCUGCAUUUUUCUUGGAGCUGUCAUGCAGAAAAUAUCAUAUCCACUGUUCCCAGAAGACUUAAAAGAUGCCACCAUCAUCACCCCUUUCAAAAAAGGGGAAAGAACAGAACGUGGAAACUAUCAAGGUAUUUCUCUUCUUACCUCUGCAAGAAUCCUUACAAACCACCUUUUAUCUAUUUCAGAAGAUACCAGAACAGCUUCCGUCCCUUCCUUACCGCAGUGGGGAAUAAGCAGUUCUUUAAUUUUUUCCUUCUCCAUUAAUGUCAGACUGUAUUGAUUGCAAAUCUGUGUAGUGAUUAGGAAAGUUGGCCACCUAGUGACUGGAGAUAGUAUUGCAAUCUACAAACAACUUGAAUAUUUAACCUAUCUUUCUAAAAACUUCAGGUCUAGAUAACGAGUUUCUUUUGGAAGAAUUCCAGUUUUUGGGAUUAAUGGAUAUUUAGCUACAACUCAAACAGGCAAAUAAGCACACAUACACAUUUUCCUACAUUACAGAUUUUAUUUGCAGUAUUAAAAUUGUUUAAUUACAGCACAGUGGAAUAGUGUUCAGUCCACAAAUAAACAGACAUGUGCCUCUCUUUUUACCGCUUCAUAAUUAAUAUGUCCCAAAAAUCAAAUAGGAGAUUAUGUAGCAAAAAGUUUACAUUAGUGCAGCAGAAAGGUUAGUGGAUAUCAUAGGCUCUAAUUUGCUUGUGUAACAAGCCUGUUACAUGGUAUUUUAUAAAGUUAAGAUUAAAAUCAAUCUUCCAUAGAGCAGAGAAUAAAUAUUGAUACAAAACCAUCUUGCCUGCCUUUUUGGCUCAGAAAAAGAAUAGAAGUGAUUUGUAUGCAAAGUUUAACUGCAAACAUCCUUUAUUUGGAAAUAGAAUUAUUAUCAGUAGCAGGCAGUGCCAAAAAACCCCCAAUGGGAUUAUUGAUCACAAGCUUCUUAUUAGGCUACUGGAGUUGGAGUGUCUGGAUUUUCUGUAUCCACACUAGCCAGGACAUUCUCAAGGCUGUCAUUAACAAAUUCAGCUUCAGCGCCAACCUGUUUGUUGAAAAGACAUAUUACAUUAGCUGGUGAGUCCUGAGAGGGGAAUUUGAUAGAACUGAGAGAUUAAGGAAAUGAGAAAUUAUCUUGCACUGAUGUUACUGAAGGCAUUUCCAAGCACAGGUGGCAAUAAGAGAAAAAGGACAGAGACCAUUGUAGGACCAGCCCUACUAUCUAGCAGUUUCUGUUACCUCGGGCAACAGAUGCCAAGAAGUAUUGGGCUACAACUGUUUACCUGCACCCUCAAAAACACCAUCGCCUUUAGGUACGAUAUAGGGAUGGUAAAUGUAUUUUUAUUGAGGGACACAUCAGCCUCAUGGUUGCCUCCAAAGAGCCAUUGGAUCCAUGGAUGGAUAAUCCGUGGAUACGGAGAGCCAACUAUAAUUUUUUGACAUAGUAAGUGCUCUUCUGUUUUUGCCCAAUUUGGAUCCCCAGGUGAUAAUUGAAUUGCAGCUCCCAUCACUUGAUUAUCAGCCAUGUGGGCUGAGGAUAAUGGGAAUUGCUACCCAACAACACUAGUGUUUCUGAGGAUGGGAAAAGAUUAAAGGAUAUUUUAAUGCCAAACAUCAUGUCUACAAGCCUUAUAUAAAAAUUCAAACCCUUCCCUCCUGACUAAAUAGAACAAACUGCAACCUUCCAGAUGUUCCUGUAUCACAACUCCCAUCAGCUCUAGACAUGAUGUCUUAAUGAUGAGGAAUGCAAGCAAUUGUAGUUCAGCAUCUGGGCGACCACAAAAAAUUGGCACAGAGAGCCAGAUCCAGCCCAGAGGGCUUGAGUUUGACACAUGUGGUGUGAUAUAUGUUCCCUCAUUGCAAUAUUCCUACCCAGUUGGAGUGGGAAAUGCAUUAUUCCUAUUAAUCAAGGUAAUUGAAGGAUGCCAGAUAACAUGAAAAGAAUCUUGUUUAAACUCCACUGAAAGUUACCAUAGUAAAAUCAUAGUGGAAGAACUAGAAAAUUACUAUAGAGGUAGCCUUUCUAGGGAUUUCCUUGGUUCCUCAGAAAGGCUCAAUGCCUUAGAAUCACCUGGAGAAUGUAGAAAAUUACUAGAGAAGAUGUGUUUUUUCAGACCUGAGCAGGUGAAUAGAAGGACCACUAUGUAUUUUUAACUAAUUGAUAAUAUUUGUUAGGGCAAAUUGUACUACAUUUAGUGGAAGGAGGAACAUGUCUAUUCAUGAUAAUUCUACUAUGAUGGCAGAUGCAAACUAAUAGGAAACUUCCAGGUUUUCCUUCUGUCCUUUCUGAUUUCUGUGAUAAGUCUCUGCUUGUAUUGGGAGCUAACAGAAAAUAUUCAGAAAACAUGUAAGGAUCUCCAAAAUAAAAUUGGAAAGAACAGGGACAAAAUCUGGGAUUUUAAUCAGUCUUGAAUGUCCUCUAAAUUGGGGUGUACUGAAUUUUCAUACAGAAUAUAAAAUAGCCCAGGCAAGCAUCACCUUAAGACUCUUAAUUGUGACAGAAUUAGGAUCACACAUGCAUAUACACACCUGGCUAUGUGUUGCUAUCUAUAAGGUUAUGUUCUCUAUUGAACAUUUCCCUAGUUUUGGGUUUUUUAGAUGCAUUUACAGUAGGUAUAUAAUGUACAUUUAACAGACAUUGAAGGCAACCAAAGCUUCACAUAAACAGCUGCAAACAAGAACACCUUAACUAUCAAGUAAUGAGAAUCUAUAUUUCCUGAAAAUCCUGUUUACUACUUAGCAAUAUGAACAUAUAUUCUCUGUAUUAAUAUCUACAAGAAGUAUUACCUCUGCGUCAUUUCCUGCAUAACCAUCAUCAAAGGCCCGCUCAUUCUAGAAAAAUAAAGCAUCAUACGUAAUUUUGUAUUCAGUCCUGUAAUUAAAAUGCAGUGAAAGGUUUAACGGAUGCAAAGUUGAAUGCUAUCGUUUUUACCACAAAUUUGAAGGCAUUGUCAUUGUCAUCCAAAGCAUAUGAUAUCUAGAAAAAAAGAUAAACCAAGUAUUAGCAUGAAUGUGUGUGUAUAGCAUAUUUUCAGAAAAGAAAGUUCUAUAGGAUAAUCAUUUGCACACAAUAUAUUGAUUGUUUCAAUUGACUCAAACAACUUCACAAUCCAUUUUGUAAACUCAGUGUAAUAAGCUCUUAAGGCAUCCACACUAUAGAAUUGAUGCAUUUUGCUCUCAUUUUAACUGUUAUGGCUCAAUGCUGUUAAAGUGUGGAAGUUGUAGUUUAGUGAGGCAGCAGCACUCCUUGGCAGAGAAGGCUGGAGACUUUGUAAGAUUACAACUUCCAUGUUUCCAUAAUGUUGAUUCAUGACAGAUAAAGUGGAGUCAAAUCACAUUGAUUCUCCAAUGUAGAUGCAUCCUAUGUAAGAACUUAUAUAUGAGAUGAAGCGAAAGGACUAGAUCAUCUUUUGAUCAGUAUCCUGUAACAACCCAAAAAUUUCCAGAAACCCUAAGAUUGCCCAUGGAGACCAUAUUCUUCCCAGUUCUUAUUCCGUCUCCACAAAAUACAUCUCAUGAGCUUUUUGAGGUAAUAAUCAAAGAUCCAAUAUCCAUGGAGUACUGCAGAGACUGCAUUCUGAAACUGCAUUAUAUAGUAGGGUAGAUCCAGCCUAAGAGAGCCAUCUCUUCUAAAUCUGUCUGUUCAUCCUUUAAAGCCCAACCUUCAAGGGUUGCUGGUUUGAAUCCAGGGAGAGCAUGGAUGAGCUCCCUCUGCCAGCUCCAGCUUCCCAAUCAGGGACAUGAGAGAAGCCUCCCACAAGGAUGGUAAAAACAUCAAACAUCUGGGCAUCCAGUAAUAUACCCCAAUUGUUAUUUUUCUGUUACUAUUCAAGUAAAUUUAUUAGGAAUUUUAUGCCUGGUUCUAUUGUUAUUGCUGAGUCACAGUUACAAUUCCAGUUAUUGCAACAUUGUGCCAAGCACAGGAAGUAAAUUGUUUGGCCAUUUUGCAAGAAUAUGUAUUCAGCAUCACAUGAGUUGCAUUUAAAUGGCCCUCAGUAAAAAAAAAUCAUUUGAACAAUAGUAAAACCACUGUAUCAAGUGGAUUUUCAUUUGUGUUAGCGUACCUUACAUUGAUUGAUUGUGGCUGGGAUUAACAAAUGAAUUCAAGGAAAGCCUACCAGAAACUUGCAAGAAUAGUAUAAUAAAUCUAAAUGUAGUAAGAAAUCUUUUUUAACCUCUUGUUGAUUGUUGUCAUCACUUGCAUUUGGUGAAAUAAGAUCCUAAAUACAAAUAUUAAUUAUUAAGCAUAAAUGCAUAUGUAUGUAAUUAUAUCAUACAUAUGUGCAUGAUAUAUAUGAUACCAUAGGUGAACAUAUAAAUAUAUCUACAUGGUAUGUAUCACAUCCAGAGGUUAGACUGGCAUGUUCCCAGCUUUCUUUUUCUCAGACAAGUAAAAACUUUUCUGUUCCAAUAGGUUUUUUUUUCUUUUUCGUGUCAGGAGCAACCGGAGUUGCUUCUGGAGUGAGAGAAUUGGCCGUCUGCAAGGACGUUGCCCAGGGGACGCCCGGAUGUUUGAUGUUUUAUCAUCCUUGUGGGAGGCUUCUCUCAUGUCCCCGCAUGGAGCUGGAGCUGAUAGAGGGAGCUCAUCCGCACUCUCCCCGGGUGGGAUUCGAACCUGGCAGCUUUCAGGUCAGCAACCCAACCUUCAAGUUACGAGGCUUUUAUCCCCUUGGCCACCGGGGCCUCCUUGUUCCAAUAGGUAUUUAGUUCCAAGUACAGGUAGUGAUUUAUUUUUGGCCAUUUUGCAAGAAGAUGUAUUCAACAACACAUGAGUUGCAUUUAAAUUGCCCUCAGUAAAAAAAAAAUCCCUUGAACCAGAGUAAAACCAUUGUAUCAGCUGGAUUUCCAUAUGUGUUGACUUACCUUAUAGUGAUUGAUUGUGGGUGGGAUUUUAUUUAUUUAUUUAUUUACAGUAUUUAUAUUCUGCCCUUCUCACCCCGAAGGGGACUCAGGGUGGAUCACAAUGCACAUAUACAUGGCAAACAUUCAAUGCCAUUAGACAUACAACAUACAUAGACAGACGCAGAGGCAAUUAACAAAUGAAUUCAAGCAAAGCCUACCAGAAACUUGCAAGAAUAGUAUGAUACAUCUAUUCUUGCUCUGAAUGUGAUUUUCCUGCUUCUUAGCAGGGGGUUGGACUGGAUGGACCACAAAGUCUCUUCCAACUCUAUUAUUGAUAUAGACACAGGGUCUAUUCCCAUCCCAAUUUGCACUUCCAAGAAUUUGCAGCACUUUAUCAGUCACUUCAUGUUUACAAUAUUUAUAUGGUGCACCUUACCCAGUCUACUUUUACAACCUCUCAGUUUUAAUCGAUGUUUUUAUUAGUUCUUGUCAUUUGUUUUUGUUGGCUACUGUUUGAAUUUUUAUAGUUGUGCAUGUUUUUUGUCUAUUGUUGUGUUUUAUAUUGCUAUUGUUUUUAUUCGGGCUUGGCCCCAUGUAAGCCGCCCUGAGUCCCCUUUGGGGAGAUAGAGGCAAGGUAUAAAAAUAAAGUUAUUAUUAUUAUUAUUAUUA
Molecule: long non-coding RNA, 5964 nt
Organism: Anolis carolinensis (green anole)
Lineage: Eukaryota; Metazoa; Chordata; Lepidosauria; Squamata; Anolidae
Exons: 2
Source: RefSeq, a predicted model, not a curated record